RNAcentral lists this ribosomal RNA (723 nucleotides) under Enterobacter hormaechei. RNAcentral describes it as "bacterial SSU rRNA". It matches the Rfam family "Bacterial small subunit ribosomal RNA", at positions 47 to 758 of the family's 1533-position model. Lineage: Bacteria; Pseudomonadati; Pseudomonadota; Gammaproteobacteria; Enterobacterales; Enterobacteriaceae. The record is from RNAcentral.
CCUAACACAUGCAAGUCGAACGGUAACAGGAAGCAGCUUGCUGCUUUGCUGACGAGUGGCGGACGGGUGAGUAAUGUCUGGGAAACUGCCUGAUGGAGGGGGGAUAACUACUGGAAACGGUAGCUAAUACCGCAUAACGUCGCAAGACCAAAGAGGGGGACCUUCGGGCCUCUUGCCAUCGGAUGUGCCCAGAUGGGAUUAGCUAGUAGGUGGGGUAACGGCUCACCUAGGCGACGAUCCCUAGCUGGUCUGAGAGGAUGACCAGCCACACUGGAACUGAGACACGGUCCAGACUCCUACGGGAGGCAGCAGUGGGGAAUAUUGCACAAUGGGCGCAAGCCUGAUGCAGCCAUGCCGCGUGUAUGAAGAAGGCCUUCGGGUUGUAAAGUACUUUCAGCGGGGAGGAAGGCGAUAAGGUUAAUAACCUUGUCGAUUGACGUUACCCGCAGAAGAAGCACCGGCUAACUCCGUGCCAGCAGCCGCGGUAAUACGGAGGGUGCAAGCGUUAAUCGGAAUUACUGGGCGUAAAGCGCACGCAGGCGGUCUGUCAAGUCGGAUGUGAAAUCCCCGGGCUCAACCUGGGAACUGCAUUCGAAACUGGCAGGCUAGAGUCUUGUAGAGGGGGGUAGAAUUCCAGGUGUAGCGGUGAAAUGCGUAGAGAUCUGGAGGAAUACCGGUGGCGAAGGCGGCCCCCUGGACAAAGACUGACGCUCAGGUGCGAAA